Molecule: ribosomal RNA, 30 nt
Filed under: Boeremia exigua
Lineage: Eukaryota; Fungi; Ascomycota; Dothideomycetes; Pleosporales; Didymellaceae
Description: partial 18S ribosomal RNA
Source: RNAcentral
UAAAUUCUGAGUGUAGGCUUUGCCUACCAU